GACGAACGCUGGCGGCGUGCUUAACACAUGCAAGUCGAACGGAAAGGCGCCUUUCGGGGUACUCGAGUGGCGAACGGGGGAGUAACACGUGAGUAACCUGCCCUUGACUUCAGGACAACUUCAAGAAACUGGGGCUAAUACCGGAUAGGAAUCCUUGCUGCAUGGUGGGGGUUGGAAAGUUUCGGCGGGUUUGGAUGGACUCGCGGCUUAUCAGCUUGUUGGUGGGGUUGUGGCUUAACGAGGCUUUGACGGGUAGCAGGCCUGAGGGGGCGACCGGCCACAUUGGGACUGAGAUGAGGCACAGAUUCCUACGGGACGCAGCAGAGCGGAAUAUUGAACAAUGGGCGGAAGGCUGAUGCAGAAGGGCCGCGGGCGGUAUGACGGCCUUAGGGUUGUAAACCGCAUUCAGCAGGGGCGAAGCUUGUGGUGACGGUACCUGAAGAAGAAGCACCGGCUAACUACGUG
This 465-nucleotide ribosomal RNA is filed under the name uncultured bacterium. Its description in RNAcentral is "partial 16S ribosomal RNA". It matches the Rfam family "Bacterial small subunit ribosomal RNA", at positions 28 to 507 of the family's 1533-position model. The record is from RNAcentral.